UGCUCACGUGAUCGCAGCCCGCAGCCGCGCGCAACCGGGGAGGCGGGAGCGGGAGCGGUAGGCCCCGCCCACAGAGGAGGGUACCGCGCCGGAAGCCCCCUGCUCUGUGGGAACCUGAGGGAGGACAGCGCGAGGUUCCCGGACAGAGCGUGGCGCAGAAGUCCGGCCCGUAACUUGGUGGGCAGGCAGCUUAGGGGAUGUGGGCCUGGUUAUAGCUGAGCAUGCUUUUCUCUUCCUCCCAGACCACAGUUCUUCAGACCUGGAGCCACUUUCAGAGAAGAGUAUAAGUUGCACUGAAUUGAAAAAGGGAAAAGUUUAGGACUGCAGAAGAUGGAAUUCCUGGGGACGUUAAACUGGGCUAAGAUGGAGCAGAUAAGAUUUCCUUAAUUAGAGCAAGACACACCUAGUAUCUAGAGCCUGGAAGUCUUGGUCAAGGAUUCUCCCUAACAUCUCAGUUUCUCAGCACUAACAUUCCUGCUACUAAAAUGAAGUGAGAAAUUAAUUUCUGAAGUUAAGUAAAGAAAUAAACUAAAAUUCCUAGAAAAGAGGUAAGAAGAAUGAGCCUUUGAAAAAUGUCUUCACAGAGACUGGCAUGAUGGCAUGGAAGAAAGAGCCCCAGAUAUCCAGUAUACAUCUCAAGGUCAACUUGUCCAAAACAGAGCUACUGAUGAUUUUCCCCUUGAAAUCUACUCUUCCUACAGCUUAUUCAUCUCAAAUAACACAUUCACUCUCAUGGCUUCAACUAGGCAGAAUGUGACUGACCAACAGUGUGGCUCAUCCUUGUGGAGGAGAACAGAUGCCAAUUAAUUUGACGUGACCGUAUCCAACCCAGGAAGUGGGUGGGAGGCUGGAGUACAGUGGCAUGAUCAUAGCUCACUGCAACUUCUACCUCCUGGGCUCAAGCAAUCCUCUUACCUCAGCCUCCUGAGUAGCUGGGACUACAGGUACAUGCCACCAUGCCUGGUCUCCCUCUCUUGCCGAGCCUGGACUGUACUGCCAUGAUCUCAGCUCACUGCAACCUCCCUGCCUCGGGUUCCGGUGAUUGUCCUGCCUCGGCCUGACAUUCCAGGCACGCGCCGCCACUCCUGACUGGUUUUUGUAUUUUUGGUGGAGACGGGGUUUCGCCGUGUUGACCGUGCUGGUCUCCAGCUCCUGGCCUCGGGUGAUCUGCCCGCCUCGGCCUCCCAAGGUGCUGGGAUUGCAGACGGAGUCUCACUCACUCAAUGCUCAAUGUUGCCCAGGCUGGAGUGCAGUGGCGUGAUCUCGGCUCGCUACAACCUCCACCUCCCAAAUGCCUGCCUUGGCCUCCCAAAGUGCUAAGAUUACAGCCUCUGCCCGCCCGCCACCCCGUCUAGGAAGUGAGCAGCGUCUCUGCCUGGACGCCCAUCGUCUGGGACAUGAGGAGCGCCUCUGGCUGGCCGCCCCGUCUGGGAAGUGAGGAGCGCCUCUGCCCGGCCACCCCGUCUGGGAGGUGAGGAGCGUCUCUGCCCGGCCACCCCGUCUGGGAGGUGAGGAGCGCCUCUGCCUGGCCACCCCGUCUGGGAGGUGAGGAGCGCCUCUGCCUGGCCACCCCGUCUGGGAGGUGAGGAGCAUCUCUGCCCGGCCACCCCGUCUGGGAGGUGAGGAGCACCUCUGCCUGGCUGCCCCGUGUGGGAAGUGAGGAGCACCCCUGCCCGCCCGCCCAUCAUCUGGGAAGUGAGGAGCCCCUCUGCCCGGUCGCCCUGUCUGGGAAGUGAGGAGUGCCUCUGCCCGGCCACCCUGUCUGGGAUGUGAGGAGCGCCUCUGCCCAGCCACCACCCCGUCUGGGAAGUGGGGAGCGCCUCUGCCUGGCCGCGCCAUCUGGGAUGUGAGGAGCUCCUCUGCCCGGCCGCCAGGCCGUCUGGGAAGUGAGGAGCGCCUCUGCCCGGCCGCCACCGUGUCUGGGAAGUGGGGAGCGCCUCUGCCUGGCCGCCCCAUCUGGGUUGUGAGGAGCGCCUCUGCCUGGCCUCCCCAUCUGGGAGGUGGGGAGCGCCUCUGCCCGGCUGCCCCGUCUGGGAGGUGAGGAGCAUCUCUGCCCGGCUGCUCAUCAUUUGGGAUGUGAGGAGCGCCUCUGCCUGGCCGCCCCGUCUGGGAAGUGAGGAGUGCCUCUGCCCGGCCGCCCUUCGUCUGGGAGGUGAGGAGCGUCUCUGCCCGGCCACCCAUUGUCUGGGAUGUGAGGAGUGCCUCUGCCCGGCCGCCCCGUCUGGGAAGUGAGGAGUGCCUCUGCCUGGCCACCCCAUCUGGGAGGUGUACCCAACAGCUCCGAAGAGACAGCGACCAUCGAGAACGGGCCGUGAUGACGAUGGCGGUUUUGUUGAAAAAUAAAGGGGGAAAUGUGGGGAAAAGAAAGAGAGAUCAGAUUGUUACUGUGUCUGUGUAGAAAGAAGUAGACAUAGGAGACUCCAUUUUAUUCUGUACUAAGGAAAAUUCUGCCUUGGGAUGCUGUUAAUCUAUAACCUUACCCCCAACCCCGUGCUCUCUGAAACAUGUGCUGUGUCAACUCAGGGUUAAAUGGAUUAAGGGUCAUGCAAGAUGUGCUUUGUUAAACAGAUGCUUGAAGGCAGCAUGCUCGUUAAGAGUCAUCACCACUCCCUAAUCUCAAGUACCCAGGGACACAAACACUGCGGAAGGCCGCAGGGACCUCUGCCUAGGAAAACCAGAGUCCUUUGUUCACGUAUUUAUCUGCUGAUCUUCUCUCCACUAUUAUCCUAUGACCCUGCCACAUCCCCCUCGCCGAGAAACACCCAAGAAUGAUCAAUAAAUACUAAAAAAAACAAAAAGUUAUUUCUUCUAAUCAAUAUUUCCAAGAGUUUCAACCUCUAAUUUUAAAUCUCUCAGUUUGAUUUCCUCUUUUACUGUCUUCCCUAAGGUGAUUAGCACUUGUAAUUGCCAGAAGGAAUUAAGUCCCCCAAACCUUAACCUGAUGAAUCACGGAUAAUCAGGUCAAUCACCAGCCUUAUUAAAUAUUCACUUAAAAGUUUAAGUAGUUGUAGUUCAUCACCUAAAAGUUAUAAUUCUACAGUACAAAGGACUUUUUCUUAAGUUAACAUGAAUAACCAGUUAUGUGAAGAUAAAUAAACUUUUUAAGUAAGGAAUAAUCACUCAUUGGCCAAGACUCUACUAUUGUGAAAUCAUUAAAUGAAAAUGAUAAAAGCUUACAGUCAUCAAAUAAUUAACAUGUACCAAGCACUGUUCUAUCUUUACAUGAAUCAACUUAUUUCAUUCUUAUAAAAAUUCUAUAGUGAACCUUUAUACUACUAUUAUAGUUUUAUGGACCUAGAAAUUGAGAUUAAGUAACUUGUUCAAGGUCAUAUAGUUUGUAAAUGGAGGAGCCAGAAUUCCAACCCAGGCCAUUUAACUUUGAGCCUGUGGCCUGGGAUGGAAUUCUGUUCUUAACCACUACAGUGUAGUGCCUUGGAAAUGUCACAUCCACACUUGUUUUGAAAUUGAGUUACUGAGGAAUUUACCACCUUGUGUUUGGCACCAAAAAUAUGCCUGAAAUGUUAAGAAAAUAGAAAGGUAUGUUUCAACAGCAAAAUUAUGCUGAAAUUAUCCUUCACUACACCUCCUCCUGCACACCUCUAUCUCCUGCCUGAAGCAAGUAUCCCGUCUCCAUCAGCACUCUUGCUCACUGAGCCCAGGCUGGGUCUCAGAAUCCUUCUCAGCACAACAUAUAAUAGUCAACAGUUGGCAUGCAAGAGGAAAUCUGCACACUAUGUCUAGCAGUACACUAAAAUGUGCAGUUUUGUAUAGCAUAUAUGAAGGUGUCAGUCUUUUCCCUUUCUUUUUGUAAUGUCUCUUAGGGAGACAUUGCAAGUUGGGAAGAGUUACUUUUACUUCCCUUACUGACAAUCCCAUUUCACAAUGUAAUUGUUUAGGUCAAAUUCUGUAGAAGUACCGCCUGAGACAGGAAAUAGCAUGCAUGUGGUUUAUUGAGGAAAUGCUUUCAGGAGACAGGGAGUAAGGAAAACUGAAUAAAGUAGAAGUUGUUAAGCAA
Gorilla gorilla gorilla (western lowland gorilla) is the source of this 4015-nucleotide long non-coding RNA. RefSeq lists it as uncharacterized. Lineage: Eukaryota; Metazoa; Chordata; Mammalia; Primates; Hominidae. The record is from RefSeq and is a predicted model, not a curated record. The transcript has 5 exons.